RNAcentral lists this ribosomal RNA (506 nucleotides) under uncultured bacterium. RNAcentral describes it as "partial 16S ribosomal RNA". It matches the Rfam family "Bacterial small subunit ribosomal RNA", at positions 30 to 523 of the family's 1533-position model. The record is from RNAcentral.
AUUGAACGCUGGCGGCAGGCCUAACACAUGCAAGUCGAACGGUAACAGGAAACAGCUUGCUGUUUCGCUGACGAGUGGCGGACGGGUGAGUAAUGUCUGGGAAACUGCCUGAUGGAGGGGGAUAACUACUGGAAACGGUAGCUAAUACCGCAUAACGUCGCAAGACCAAAGAGGGGGACCUUCGGGCCUCUUGCCAUCGGAUGUGCCCAGAUGGGAUUAGCUUGUUGGUGGGGUAACGGCUCACCAAGGCGACGAUCCCUACCUGGUCUGAGAGGAUGACCAGCCACACGGGAACUGAGACACGGUCCAGGCUCCUACGGGAGGCAGCAGUGGGGAAUAUUGCACAAUGGGCGCAAGCCUGAUGCAGCCAUGCCGCGUGUAUGAAGAAGGCCUUCGGGUUGUAAAGUACUUUCAGCGGGGAGGAAGGGAGUAAAGUUAAUACCUUUACUCAUUGACGUUACCCGCAGAAGAAGCACCGGCUAACUCCGUGCCAUCCGCCGCAGUAA